RNAcentral lists this ribosomal RNA (259 nucleotides) under uncultured bacterium. RNAcentral's name for it is "partial small subunit ribosomal RNA". It matches the Rfam family "Bacterial small subunit ribosomal RNA", at positions 26 to 287 of the family's 1533-position model. The record is from RNAcentral.
AGAUUGAACGCUGGCGGCAGGCCUAACACAUGCAAGUCGAGCGGAUGAAGAGAGCUUGCUCUCUGAUUCAGCGGCGGACGGGUGAGUAAUGCCUAGGAAUCUGCCUGGUAGUGGGGGACAACGUUUCGAAAGGAACGCUAAUACCGCAUACGUCCUACGGGAGAAAGCAGGGGACCUUCGGGCCUUGCGCUAUCAGAUGAGCCUAGGUCGGAUUAGCUAGUUGGUGGGGUAAUGGCUCACCAAGGCGACGAUCCGUAAC